GCCACGUUCACGGGAAAGGAAUGCAGUGGUGUUUGGUCUCUUAGACUGGAAUCAACAUUUACACAAGAAAAUGUUAGACAAGCAAGUUGAAAAUUCCAAAAGCAUGCUCAAAUGAUUGCUACUUCUCAACCGAAACUAGCCAGUAUCUUUCUGGAUGGCAAUUGUUUUGUGACUUGAGAUGGCAUCAGGAGGGCUGGAGGAAGAAUGCUAUGGCUCAUCUUACGAUUCUGAAGAACACCAUCCUUAUGCGGGGGGGAGAAAAAUCCCUUGUCAUCCACUGGGGAGGGGAGGAAAAGCAGUUAAAUGAGAACAUCCAUGCCUCCAUCCUCAUGCUGCCUUCUGCGCAGUUGAUGAAUGAGAAUCAGGAUCCUUCUUGGCACACUGAAGAGAUUUUGACAACAGGCAAGUGGCUUUCUUUAAGGAAUAAUGCCAGUAUCUUUGAUAAGAAUGACAGAGUCACAGGACAAAUACCUUUUCCAGUUUUGAAGUGCUGAGCUUUAUGAAUAGGUAAGUAUUCAAUAUGCACUUCUGCUAUUGCAAUAAACCACCAUACUUUCUAAAUAAAUUAUCUUUUUAAUCAGCACAAGUUAGAAAAAUUAGUGCUAAUAUCUAGAGAGAUUUCACACCAUAAAAAUAUAUUGCAUUCUUACCAUAAUUUUAGUCAGUAACAACAACAAAUUUGCUGCGCAGGUUUCAGCUCCUGAAGAAGUGUAGUUUACCAGAAAAACUGUUACAAACAAACUAGAAAUGAGUGAAACUUCACUUCUAAGAAGACAGCUUGAGAAGAAAGAAAUGAGCUUGUUCUACCUUCUAAUUGUCUUGAGAAACGCUUUUUCUGCUUCUAAUUACUUUGGCUGUGAAGAGUGUAUCCUCUUCAGUAUUUCUAAAAAACUUUAUCAGAAUUCCUGCCAUUCCUCUCCUGUCCAUUCCCUGUUCUAAGGCCAUAGAUGAGAAUAAGUUGUCCUGUCUGCUUGUAAAAAGUUAUAAACCUAAAUUAUAAACUCUCUUCUGAAAUAUCUUUUGUGGUUUGAAUAUUCAGGUAGCUACUGAAUUCAGAUGUAUUUCUCACUUGUGCAUUCAUAUUUCUGGUUAAGCUCAGGAAUUCAAAAAAUAAUAUCAGAAAGGAAUACUCAGAAGUUCAUUGCUUUUGUGGCUUUUUUCACUGAGGCCAGUUUUAGGCCAUGUUGUCAAUGAUCAGUCUGUGCUCUUCAGUUCUAUAUUAUAUACAUAAACUAUGUGUGCAACGAAUUAUGUUUUCUUAGCCUCUCCAUACAGUUUAUUAAACAUUAGUUGGAAUACUUCCAUCCCUAAAGUGAAACCUUUGGCAUAAAUAAUAUAGUCAUUUGGAUAGGCAAGACAUACUUUCGCAAAGCGACCUUGUAAAAAUAUUGUCUGAGGUAUUACUGAGCCUAAAUUAUAUGACAGUGAGGUAUUAUAUUCUGCUACCUCUGGUAUAUGAGGUUUGGGUUGUUGGUUUUUUUUUUUCAGUUGCAGAUGUUUAUAUAAAUUCUUUGUCUGGCAAAGGCAAACAUUGUUUACUAUGGUUUUUCUGUCUGAUUGUUUUCCUUCAUAAAAUAAAAGGAUAGGAAGCACUGGAAGGACGCUUUUCUGCCUACAUUAUAAAUACAGGUAAGACCGGAAUAGUUGGGUCAGAAUUAAUUUUUCCUCUCUCUCUUGUUACAGCUCUCUCAAAUAUUUCCUAUGUCAUUCAGGGAUAACUUGAUUGUUUGGGUGCUGUAGAUG
Molecule: long non-coding RNA, 1743 nt
Organism: Cuculus canorus (common cuckoo)
Lineage: Eukaryota; Metazoa; Chordata; Aves; Cuculiformes; Cuculidae
Exons: 4
Source: RefSeq, a predicted model, not a curated record